This is a ribosomal RNA of Lepisosteus oculatus (spotted gar), 119 nucleotides long. The record is from Ensembl. Lineage: Eukaryota; Metazoa; Chordata; Actinopteri; Semionotiformes; Lepisosteidae.
GCCACCAGCCAUGUCACCCUGCAACUUACAACUGAAAACCCACUGAAGCUAAGCAGGUGUGAGCCUGGUCAGUACCUGGAUGGGAGACCUCCUGGGAGAAACUAAGGUUGCUGCUGGAA